RNAcentral lists this ribosomal RNA (435 nucleotides) under uncultured bacterium. RNAcentral's name for it is "partial 16S ribosomal RNA". It matches the Rfam family "Bacterial small subunit ribosomal RNA", at positions 29 to 507 of the family's 1533-position model. The record is from RNAcentral.
AGCGAACGCUGGCGGCAGGCUUAACACAUGCAAGUCGAGCGGGCACUUUCGGGUGUCAGCGGCGGACGGGUGAGUAACGCGUGGGAACGUGCCCUCUGGUUCGGAAUAACUCAGGGAAACUUGAGCUAAUACCGGAUACGCCCUUUUGGGGAAAGGCUUGCUGCCGGAGGAUCGGCCCGCGUCUGAUUAGCUAGUUGGUGAGGUGACGGCUCACCAAGGCGACGAUCAGUAGCUGGUCUGAGAGGAUGAUCAGCCACACUGGGACUGAGACACGGCCCAGACUCCUACGGGAGGCAGCAGUGGGGAAUAUUGGACAAUGGGCGCAAGGCUGAUCCAGCCAUGCCGGGUGAGUGAUGAAGGUCUUAGGGUUGUAAAGCUCUUUUAUCCGGGACGAUAAUGACGGUACCGGAGGAAUAAGCCCCGGCUAACUUCGUG